CAGCAAAUGGCGGAUGACGCCGGUGCAGCGGGGGGGCCCGGAGGCCCUGGUGGCCCGGGGAUGGGGAACCGCGGUGGCUUCCGCGGAGGUUUCGGCAGUGGCAUCCGGGGCCGGGGUCGCGGCCGUGGACGGGGCCGGGGCCGAGGCCGCGGAGCUCGCGGAGGCAAGGCCGAGGAUAAAGAGUGGAUGCCCGUCACCAAGUUGGGCCGGUUGGUCAAGGACAUGAAGAUCAAGUCCCUGGAAGAGAUCUAUCUCUUCUCCCUGCCCAUUAAGGUACGCGUCGGUCGUUGGGGCGUUGAGCAAGUGCGACCCAGGAGUCACUUGGGCUGGGGUUGGAGGAUUAGUAUCUGCCAUUGACCCGCAUUAAAGGGCCCAGCGUCUCGCUUGAGAGGUUGAGGUUGUGUUGCGGGCUGGCUGAGGAGAGGAUUCCACUUAGAGGUUGGAUGGAUACCUGAGUGAAGCCAGAGCCACAAAAGGCAUUUCAGCGCAUCUUCCCACAUUCGCAGCGAAUUCAUUUCCAAAGAACUGAAAGAGAAGCAGCGCUUGGUUCAUGCCAUGCGAGAGGAUGAUGAAGUUCAGGUUGUGGGAGGACACUGUAAGGGUUGGCAAACUGUCAUAGUCCGCGUGUACGGGACAGCUGUCAUCUGCGUCCAGCGGGUGCAGUGGGGAAAGGCUAAUGGCAUAUUUGUCAUGUGAGCGUUCGCCCUAGCAAGGUACGGUGGUCAUGGCUAGGCCAAAGCUGGACAAAGCAAAAGGAAAUCUGAGUGGAAAGCCACAUCUCACCAAACAAGAGGAAAAGGGCAAAUAGGAAGAAACGAUUGAGAUGCAGAAAUACGGUAACCUUACAUACAAGCCUCCAAAAACGAAGGGGACAGAUCGGGGGGAAGCCAGGAAUCAGAGAUCAUUGAUUUCUUCCUGGGGGCCUCUCUCAAGGAUGAGGUUUUGAAGAUUAUGCCAGUGCAGAAGCAGACCCGUGCCGGCCAGCGCACCAGGUUCAAGGCAUUUGUUGCUAUCGGGGACUACAAUGGCCACGUCGGUCUGGGUGUUAAGUGCUCCAAGGAGGUGGCCACCGCCAUCCGUGGGGCCAUCAUCCUGGCCAAGCUCUCCAUCGUCCCCGUGCGCAGAGGCUACUGGGGGAACAAGAUCGGCAAGCCCCACACUGUCCCUUGCAAGGUAGGCUGGUGGCAGGUGAUGGGCCUGCGGUGGGGCAGGCUCCCUCGGGCCCCCGUCUCCUGACUCCUUCCCUCACCAGGUGACAGGCCGCUGCGGCUCUGUGCUGGUACGCCUCAUCCCUGCACCCAGGGGCACUGGCAUCGUCUCCGCACCUGUGCCUAAGAAGCUGCUCAUGAUGGCUGGUAUCGAUGACUGCUACACCUCAGCCCGGGGCUGCACUGCCACCUUGGGCAACUUCGCCAAGGCCACCUUUGAUGCCAUUUCUAAGACCUACAGCUACCUGACCCCCGACCUCUGGAAGGAGACUGUAUUUACCAAGUCUCCCUAUCAGGAAUUCACUGACCACCUCGUCAAGACCCACACCAGAGUCUCCGUGCAGCGGACUCAGGCUCCAGCUGUGGCUACAACAUAGGGUUUUUAUACAAGAAAAAUAAAGUGAAUUAAGCGUG
RNAcentral lists this small RNA (1622 nucleotides) under Pan troglodytes (chimpanzee). Its description in RNAcentral is "retained intron". Lineage: Eukaryota; Metazoa; Chordata; Mammalia; Primates; Hominidae. The record is from RNAcentral.